Molecule: ribosomal RNA, 253 nt
Filed under: uncultured bacterium
Lineage: Bacteria
Description: partial 16S ribosomal RNA
Rfam family: Archaeal small subunit ribosomal RNA
Source: RNAcentral
UACCCGCAGCACAAGUGGUGGUCAUUAUUAUUGGGCCUAAAGCGUCCGUAGCUGGCUUGUUAGAUGCCUGGGUAAAUCGAUGCGCUCAACGCAUCGACUUCCGGGUAGACCGGCAAGCUCGAGACCGGGAGAGGUGUAGGCUACUCGGGGGGUAGGGGUAAAAUCCUGUAAUCCUCCAGGGAGGACCAGUGGCGAAGGCGCUACACUAGAACGGCUCUGACAGUGAGGGACGAAGCCCUGGGGCGCAAACCGG